ACCAAUCGUUAGGGGUGCCGUUGUGCUGAGAUUAUACCCUAUGAACCUGAGAUGUGUAAUUACAGCGGAGGAAAACGAGACUUGUAACUA
Molecule: non-coding RNA, 90 nt
Filed under: Nonlabens tegetincola
Lineage: Bacteria; Pseudomonadati; Bacteroidota; Flavobacteriia; Flavobacteriales; Flavobacteriaceae
Description: Nonlabens sediminis TPP sequence
Rfam family: TPP riboswitch aptamer (THI element)
About the family: Vitamin B(1) in its active form thiamin pyrophosphate (TPP) is an essential coenzyme that is synthesised by coupling of pyrimidine and thiazole moieties in bacteria. The previously detected thiamin-regulatory element, thi box was extended, resulting in a new, highly conserved RNA secondary structure, the THI element, which is widely distributed in eubacteria and also occurs in some archaea.
Source: RNAcentral